This 844-nucleotide transfer RNA is filed under the name uncultured Synechococcus sp. RNAcentral's name for it is "partial contains 16S ribosomal RNA, 16S-23S ribosomal RNA intergenic spacer, and 23S ribosomal RNA". The stretch from base 283 to 355 matches the Rfam family "tRNA". Lineage: Bacteria; Bacillati; Cyanobacteriota; Cyanophyceae; Synechococcales; Synechococcaceae. The record is from RNAcentral.
UGGAUCACCUCCUAACAGGGAGACAACACAAUGAUUUUGAUGCCUGAGUACUUUUAUUCUUAGGCCGAAAUCCUGUCACCUUAGGUCGAUCGGUACCUCAGCUUUGAAGUCAAGGAUCAGCAGCAAUGUUGAUUGCUUGAUGGAGAUUUUUAGUUCCUAAACUUUGUCUAGGUCACACCCCAAAAGGGAUGAGACUCCUGGGCCAUUAGCUCAGGUGGUUAGAGCGCACCCCUGAUAAGGGUGAGGUCCCUGGUUCAAGUCCAGGAUGGCCCAUUCGGUGUUGGGGGUUUAGCUCAGUUGGUAGAGCGCCUGCUUUGCAAGCAGGAUGUCAGGAGUUCGAGUCUCCUAACCUCCACUGACCGAACUUGAUUCCCAUCUCCAAUUUUUUGGAGUUGAGCUCGAUUGGAGUGUGAUUUAGAUGUGUCCGCUGGAUGACCCCAGCUUCCUGUCAUUCCAAGUUUUAGAUUUUAAGUCUUAAUUUGGUUGAUAAGAUGCUGGGCUCGGAUCAAGUAAUCAAGCAAUUGAUGAUUUGAUUUGAAGUUCUAGCAGAACCUUGACAACUGCAUAGGUGAAGUCUGGAAAAACAAAGCAUCUUACAGAUGCAUUGUUUUGAAUCUGAUCUUCUGAAAGGGAGAUUGGAUCUAGAACAAUGAAAAUUCUUUUGAGCAAGAGCCGAGACUCUUAAAUGUUCUUUGAUUCGUGUCGAGCGAAUCAGAGUUUGAUCUUGUUUUUAGCAAUAAAAACUUGAGAAUCUGCUUUCAACGGCGGUAAGCAUUUAAGAGGUUAAUUGGUCAAGCUACAAAGGGCUCACGGCGGAUACCUUGGCACACAGAGGCGAUGAAGG